UUGGUGUGCGAGGAAAGAUAGCAAACCAUA
This 30-nucleotide non-coding RNA is filed under the name Rattus norvegicus (Norway rat). Lineage: Eukaryota; Metazoa; Chordata; Mammalia; Rodentia; Muridae. The record is from RNAcentral.